Molecule: ribosomal RNA, 274 nt
Filed under: uncultured bacterium
Lineage: Bacteria
Description: partial 16S ribosomal RNA
Rfam family: Archaeal small subunit ribosomal RNA
Source: RNAcentral
UACCGGCAGCCCCGAGUGAUAGCCACUAUUAUUGGGCCUAAAGCGUCCGUAGCCGGUUUGGCAAGUUUCCUGUGAAAUCUCUCCGCUUAACGGAGAGGCGUGCAGGGGAAUACUACCAGGCUAGGGAGUGGGGGAGGUCAGAGGUACACUAGGGGGAGCGGUAAAAUGCUGUAAUCCUUGGUGGACCACCAGUGGCGAAGGCGUCUGACCAAAACACGUCCGACGGUGAGGGACGAAGGCUAGGGGAGCAAAUCGGAUUAGAAACCCCGGUAGU